RNAcentral lists this ribosomal RNA (253 nucleotides) under uncultured bacterium. RNAcentral describes it as "partial 16S ribosomal RNA". It matches the Rfam family "Bacterial small subunit ribosomal RNA", at positions 524 to 776 of the family's 1533-position model. The record is from RNAcentral.
UACAGAGGGUGCAAGCGUUGCUCGGAUUUACUGGGCGUAAAGCGUACGCAGACGGCCACGCAGGUCGGGUGUGAAAGCCCCGGGCUCAACCCGGGAAUUGCAUUCGAAACCAUGUGGCUCGAGUGUGGGAGAGGGUAGUGGAAUUCCACGUGUAGCGGUGAAAUGCGUAGAGAUGUGGAGGAACACCGAUGGCGAAGGCAGCCUCCUGGGCCAACACUGACGCUCAUGCACGAAAGCGUGGGGAGCAAACAGG